AAAUGAUGACAUAAACCAUUUCGUAUAACUCCAAUAAUAUGGUUUGGAGGUCUCUACCAGGAACCAAUAAUUCCUGAUUACGAAGAAGAUGCAAAGAUUU
RNAcentral lists this non-coding RNA (100 nucleotides) under Bacillus sp. (in: firmicutes). RNAcentral's name for it is "Bacillus sp. Guanine sequence". It matches the Rfam family "Purine riboswitch aptamer". From Rfam's summary of the family: Riboswitches are metabolite binding domains within certain messenger RNAs that serve as precision sensors for their corresponding targets. Allosteric rearrangement of mRNA structure is mediated by ligand binding, and this results in modulation of gene expression. RNAcentral also lists the same sequence under 1 other name. Lineage: Bacteria; Bacillati; Bacillota; Bacilli; Caryophanales; Bacillaceae. The record is from RNAcentral.